UGGGGAAUAUUGGACAAUGGGCGAAAGCCUGAUCCAGCCAUGCCGCGUGUGUGAAGAAGGUCUUCGGAUUGUAAAGCACUUUAAGUUGGGAGGAAGGGUAGUAAGCGAAUACCUUGCUGUUUUGACGUUACCGACAGAAUAAGCACCGGCUAACUCUGUGCCAGCAGCCGCGGUAAUACAGAGGGUGCAAGCGUUAAUCGGAAUUACUGGGCGUAAAGCGCGCGUAGGUGGUUCGUUAAGUUGAAUGUGAAAGCCCCGGGCUCAACCUGGGAACUGCAUCCAAAACUGGCGAGCUAGAGUAGGGCAGAGGGUGGUGGAAUUUCCUGUGUAGCGGUGAAAUGCGUAGAUAUAGGAAGGAACACCAGUGGCGAAGGCGACCACCUGGGCUCAUACUGACACUGAGGUGCGAAAGCGUGGGGAGCAAACAGG
Molecule: ribosomal RNA, 429 nt
Filed under: Pseudomonadota bacterium
Lineage: Bacteria; Pseudomonadati; Pseudomonadota
Description: Proteobacteria bacterium partial 16S ribosomal RNA
Rfam family: Bacterial small subunit ribosomal RNA
Source: RNAcentral